RNAcentral lists this long non-coding RNA (499 nucleotides) under Homo sapiens (human). RNAcentral's name for it is "HSALNT0340708". The record is from RNAcentral. Lineage: Eukaryota; Metazoa; Chordata; Mammalia; Primates; Hominidae.
ACAGUUCAUCAGUAGGAUUCCAGACAGGCAUCAGGCUCAGGGACAGCGCAGAGACAGCUGCCUUCUCCUCUUUCCCGGAGGCACCUGAGACCUGAGCGCACCGAGGGGGCCGGUGCAUGGGCUGCUCCCAGUGAGCGUGAAGUUCACGCCCAGAAGUACACCCGCCACCAGCUGCAGCAGCACAGGGCAGAAGAAGAAAAGCCAUGUGAGGACACAGUAAGAAGGCGGACGUCUGUAGGCCAGGAAGAGAGUCCUCACCAGGACCCAACCAUGCUGGCACCCUGGUCCUGGACUUCUGGCCUCCAGAACUGUGAGAAAUAAAUUUCAGUUGUUGAAGCCAUCUGUGGUAUUUUGUUAUGGCAGCUGGAGCAGACUCAGACAAUCUUUAAAUACACAUACUUUCAGCAGUAGCUGGCAUGUCUGACCUGGCAAGAUGAACUGAUUGCACACUUAGGUAAACUGACUACUCAUCCCAGCAAAGCCCCUAACCCUGUAACCA